Oreochromis aureus is the source of this 213-nucleotide long non-coding RNA. RefSeq lists it as uncharacterized. The transcript has 3 exons. The record is from RefSeq and is a predicted model, not a curated record. Lineage: Eukaryota; Metazoa; Chordata; Actinopteri; Cichliformes; Cichlidae.
CUGGAUCGUCUCGUGAGCUACAGUGAGCUACAAAUGGCGCCAGGUUCUUCAGCUUUGAAUGCCUUCCUACAAAUGAUAACUGGAUAAAAGCAUGGGAGACUUGAUUGAAUUCUUGAAACAAAGAGAAGUCUCUGAGGAAAUUAUACAGACCUUGGAGAAUGAGAAGAUUGAUGCCAGUGUCAUAAGUCUAAUGACAGAUGAGGAGCUGAAGAC